Molecule: small RNA, 29 nt
Filed under: Bombyx mori (domestic silkworm)
Lineage: Eukaryota; Metazoa; Arthropoda; Insecta; Lepidoptera; Bombycidae
Description: ovarian small RNA-14405
Source: RNAcentral
CGCUCAAUCAGUCACCUGAAGUCUUGGGC